CCCUUAGAUGUUCUGGGCCGCACGCGCGCUACACUGAUGCAUUCAACGAGUCUAAAACCUGCUCUGAUAGGGGUGGGUAAUCUUUUGAAUGUGCAUCGUGAUUGGGAUAGAUGAUUGCAAUUUUUCAUCUUCAACGAGGAAUGCCUAGUAAACGCAAGUCAUCAGCUCGCGUUGAUUACGUCCCUGCCCUUUGUACACACCGCCCGUCGCUGCCCGGAACUGAGCCGUUUCGAGAAGACUGAGGAUUGCUGACUUGAGGCCUUCACGGGCUUCUAGUCGGUGAAAAUCAAUUUAAUCGCAGCGGCUUGAACCGGGCAAAAGUCGUAACA
Molecule: ribosomal RNA, 329 nt
Filed under: uncultured eukaryote
Lineage: Eukaryota
Description: partial 18S ribosomal RNA
Rfam family: Eukaryotic small subunit ribosomal RNA
Source: RNAcentral